GACGAACGCUGGCGGCGUGCUUAACACAUGCAAGUCGAACGAAGAGCGAUGGAAGCUUGCUUCUAUCAAUCUUAGUGGCGCACGGGUGAGUAACGCGUAAUCAACCUGCCCUUCAGAGGGGGACAACAGUUGGAAACGACUGCUAAUACCGCAUACGAUCUAAUCUCGGCAUCGAGGAUAGAUGAAAGGUGGCCUCUACAUGUAAGCUAUCACUGAAGGAGGGGAUUGCGUCUGAUUAGCUAGUUGGAGGGGUAACGGCCCACCAAGGCGAUGAUCAGUAGCCGGUCUGAGAGGAUGAACGGCCACAUUGGGACUGAGACACGGCCCAGACUCCUACGGGAGGCAGCAGUGGGGAAUCUUCCGCAAUGGACGAAAGGCUGACGGAGCAACGCCGCGUGAGUGAUGACGGCCUUCGGGUUGUAAAGCUCUGUUAAUCGGGACGAAAGGCCUUCUUGCGAAUAGUGAGAAGGAUUGACGGUACCGGAAGAGAAAGCCACGGCUAACUACGUG
Molecule: ribosomal RNA, 510 nt
Filed under: uncultured bacterium
Lineage: Bacteria
Description: partial 16S ribosomal RNA
Rfam family: Bacterial small subunit ribosomal RNA
Source: RNAcentral